Carassius auratus (goldfish) is the source of this 788-nucleotide long non-coding RNA. RefSeq lists it as uncharacterized. Lineage: Eukaryota; Metazoa; Chordata; Actinopteri; Cypriniformes; Cyprinidae. The record is from RefSeq and is a predicted model, not a curated record. The transcript has 3 exons.
ACGAGCACGAGGGGGCGCUGAGUAAAUACAAAUUUAACAUUCACUGCACGACUUGAAUUGAUCCUUAUCCUCAGUGGGUUCAAAGUGAGCAUCUGUGUGGAACUGAAUAAUAAUUCAGCCCAUAGUGUUAUUGCGUUAAUCUAAUCAGUAUUAUCAUCCAUAGCCUAUGUUACCCAAAACUGCAGUGAGCCCAGACCGCAUGGGGAUGCCCGUUACUGAGGAUUUUUCACUGACUCAAAUGGGGGAUUACCUCAUUUCCAUAACAUCAGGAGAGGACGAGGGCGUGAUAGACGCUUGUGAGAAGUAACGCUGUACCUCACGGUCUGCGCUCCUCACUGGGCGACGGGAGAGUGGGUGUGUUUAACGGGAGACUUCAUUCAUAAAAACAAGAAGAUUUAAAAGCCCAAAUUAAAGAGAAGAUCGGGGAAUCGUUUGCGAGCGCUUUGUCUGAUGGAGCACGUGAAUUAUAGUUAGGGGGGACACUCUCUCUGGCUUGGACCAUGAGCAAUGAGUCUGCCAUAUGGACAAACCAGAACAGAACUUACCCCACCGAUGUCCCGUUGUCAUCAGGGACACAGAAUGGCUAUGUCCUCCUGCUGGUCCUCUUGUCCAUCUUUGUGGGGGGGACGGUGGUCCUGCUCUCGGUCCUUCUGAUUGUCUGUCGCCGUUGUUAUGAAGGGGACAGACGCCAUGCAUGGUAAGACCAAUCCCUCACAACAUAAACAUUCAAAGGAUCCUGAACAUACUCAGUUCUGGAUGAACAUUUCUGUCAACCAAUCAGGUCUUUU